RNAcentral lists this ribosomal RNA (245 nucleotides) under uncultured bacterium. RNAcentral describes it as "partial 16S ribosomal RNA". It matches the Rfam family "Bacterial small subunit ribosomal RNA", at positions 524 to 768 of the family's 1533-position model. The record is from RNAcentral.
UACGUAGGGGGCAAGCGUUGUCCGGAAUCACUGGGUGUAAAGGGUGCUCAGGCGGAUUCAUAAGUCAGAGGUGAAAUCCUGCAGCUUAACUGCAGAACUGCCUUUGAUACUGUGGGUCUAGUGUUCGGGAGAGGGUAAUGGAAUUCUUGGUGUAGCGGUGAAAUGCGUAGAUAUCAAGAAGAACACCAGUUGCGAAGGCGGUUACCUGGCCCGAUACAGACGCUCAAGCACGAAAGCGUGGGGAG